Molecule: ribosomal RNA, 497 nt
Filed under: uncultured bacterium
Lineage: Bacteria
Description: partial 16S ribosomal RNA
Rfam family: Bacterial small subunit ribosomal RNA
Source: RNAcentral
GACGAACGCUGGCGGCGUGCCUAAUACAUGCAAGUUGAGCGCUGAAGGUUGGUACUUGUACCAACUGGAUGAGCAGCGAACGGGUGAGUAACGCGUGGGGAAUCUGCCUUUGAGCGGGGGACAACAUUUGGAAACGAAUGCUAAUACCGCAUAAAAACUUUAAACACAAGUUUUAAGUUUGAAAGAUGCAAUUGCAUCACUCAAAGAUGAUCCCGCGUUGUAUUAGCUAGUUGGUGAGGUAAAGGCUCACCAAGGCGAUGAUACAUAGCCGACCUGAGAGGGUGAUCGGCCACAUUGGGACUGAGACACGGCCCAAACUCCUACGGGAGGCAGCAGUAGGGAAUCUUCGGCAAUGGACGAAAGUCUGACCGAGCAACGCCGCGUGAGUGAAGAAGGUUUUCGGAUCGAAAAACUCUGUUGGUAGAGAAGAACGUUGGUGAGAGUGGAAAGCUCAUCAAGUGACGGUAACUACCCAGAAAGGGGCGGCUAACUACGUG